This 2200-nucleotide long non-coding RNA is filed under the name Homo sapiens (human). Its description in RNAcentral is "non-protein coding LINC02568:14". The record is from RNAcentral. Lineage: Eukaryota; Metazoa; Chordata; Mammalia; Primates; Hominidae.
UUCCUCUCAAGCACUGAGAAAGGGCUCAGGUGUAUCUGGUGGCCGGCAGAGCAGGUAGUCAGCCAAGGCUUCAUAGUUCUCACCCACGGCAAUUCAGCUAGCAAACUAGAGACACUUCCCCAAGAAGACACAGCGUGGCAAGACUGCUGAGACGCAUAAAGAAAUCUUAGCUGGAAUGCCUUCUCAGAAUCUUGAUUUUCAAAGUGAUGGAUUGGGAGAUCCCAAGCCAUGAAUGUUUCCUGGUUGAAUGUUCUGUUGUAGAAGAAUGCAACUGAGUUUUCUAAACAGAUCUUCUUCUUGACAUCCUUGCUGAACGAGAGCAAAGGAGACAGCUGGGAGCAGAUGGGCAAAUCCCAGUUUGCCCAAAGAAAUGUCUAUUUUCCAAGGGGCAUGAAGAAUUUAGGAAUAAAGCAGAUCUGAUUUCUAAUUCUGACUUUGCUACUGGCAAAUUGUGUGGACUCAGGAAAGUGACCGGCCCUCUUUAAGACUCAGUGUGCUUACCUCUGAAAUGGAGCUGUCAAUCACAUCUGCCUCACAGGCUUGUUCUGAGGAUGAAGUGAGAAAAUGCCCACGAGGUGCUGGUUGCAGCAGCUGGUGCAUAGAGCUUAAAAAGGAUGCAGUCCCAAAACAUAGAAGGAUUUACUCCAGAUCCAAGCAAUGAGUCAGGAACAGAAAGCCUGAUGCCCUCACCUGGAACUCUCCCUCCUCCCUGGAUGAGGACCUUCCCCAGAAUUGCAGGGCACCCACACAAGACCAAGCAAGUUCAGAGAAAAUUGAAACCUGACUUUAGAGCCUCUGGGAUGUUCACUACACCUCAUUGAACCUGUUUGGUUCACAGAGCUCCAACUACCGUCUACUUCCUGCAACUGGCCUGCUGCCAACUCCCCAGAUCUCUUGUGGAGCUGCCGGAAGAGACAGCCUGCCACAGAAGAAAGCAGCCCUCCUCUUUCAUGGCCUCCCACAUCUUGAAACAAACACAAGCAAACAAAACAAAAGCUUGAGUCCCAGCCUGAUUCACCAGGUUUGGUUCCCAAUUGUUGAAAUUCCCUUCCCAGGGCUCUCAGAACCAGGGUUGGCUGGAGGGGUGAAAGAGGCUGGCCCUGAGCCCAGUAAUAGGACACCAAGGGGGAGCUAAAAGCUGGGAUCUGGGGUGAAGAUGGGGUCUUCCAAGCUGGGAGGCAGACACCAGGCCAGAGCAACCGGCCUGCCCCAGCUCAGGCCUCUUAACCCAUGCAGGGCAAGAGUAUAAACAGAGGCCACGGACCACAUGCCUCAGUAUUUAAACUUAUAAAUCAAGCUAACAUAACAUGAAAUCAAAUAUGUUCUAUCCUCCUAGCUUGACAAAUACUUUCAUAACGAGAUGGAAUGCCAGGUUCAGAUUUAGAAUUUUCACACUCCUUAAAGUUCCAAGUCAAAAUACAGCAUUAGGGGAGGGCCCCCAACCUCGAGGUCUCCCCUCCCCCAUUUUCUUUCACUCCCAGCUCUGUCUCACACCACGAGGGAUCUUGGGUGAAUGCCCCUCGAUACCCCAGCCCCCCACAAACAGCUGCCCUUUCCCCCCUUGGCCAAGGGUAAGCACAGCAGCAGGGCAGUCUGCCCUUGGCUGGAGAGAUGGAAGGAGAGGCCACACGGGCCCUGAAAAUGCAUUUGGGGACUCUUGGGCAGGAAACUUGGGAGUUUCUGGAGCCUCAAGGAGGGUCUAGUGGGACAGAGCCACUUGGGCCCAUGAGAUCCUUGACCCAUGGAGAAGGGUAGGGCUAGAGGAGGGCCAGGGCAGGCCCUAUGAACAGAAGAACCUAGAGUAACUGCCCUGUCCCCAGAUCCUGUCACCGAGCAGGUAUACUUGGGAGGGUAUUGGAGGGUGGAACCCAAGGGAGCUUGCCCAAGGCACUAGGAAAGAAAAGUGUAAACCUUGUUAGAGAAUGCUAAGGAUAGCUGUUAAAGCCUCAGAGAUUUUACUCAUUUUUGGCUGUUUCUAAAAAUCUUCCCCCAAAGGAAGAUCUUGCUCUCAUUGAGGAUCUGAGAAAGAAUUCUCUCCAAGUAGUUUCAAAACAUUCUGAUGUAAAAACUCUGGUGUGUUAGUCAAAAAUAAAUUUUGUUGCUUGAUGGCUUCACCAUUCACAAAAUAUUCUAUCCAUCCAAUUUAAAAAUAAGAGCAGGGUAUUUAAAACUCUUUCAAUAAACACAAAUUAAAACAAUG